CCUACGGGAGACAGCAGUGGGGAAUAUUGGGCAAUGGUCGGGAGACUGAACCAGCCAAGCCGCGUGAGGGAUGAAGGUACAGAGUAUCGUAAACCUCUUUUGUCAGGGAACAAAGGCGGGGACGCGUCCCCGGAUGAGUGUACCUGAAGAAAAAGCAUCGGCUAACUCCGUGCCAGCAGCCGCGGUCAUACGGAGGAUGCGAGCGUUAUCCGGAUUUAUUGGGUUUAAGGGGGGGGCAGGGGGUCUGUUAAGUCAGAGGGAAAAGCCCGGGGCACAACCCCGGCCCGCCGUUGAAACUGGCAGUCUCGAGUGGGAGAGAGGGAUGCGGAAUGCGCGGUGUAGCGGUGAAAUGCAUAGAUAUCGCGCAGAACUCCGAUGGCGAAGGCAGCAUGCCGGCUCCACACUGACGCUGAGGCACGAAAGCGUGGGUAUCGAACAGGAUUAGAUACCCGAGUAGUC
This 459-nucleotide ribosomal RNA is filed under the name uncultured bacterium. RNAcentral describes it as "partial 16S ribosomal RNA". It matches the Rfam family "Bacterial small subunit ribosomal RNA", at positions 338 to 795 of the family's 1533-position model. The record is from RNAcentral.